AUUGAACGCUGGCGGCAUGCUUUACACAUGCAAGUCGAACGGCAGCGCGGGCUUCGGCCUGGCGGCGAGUGGCGAACGGGUGAGUAAUACAUCGGAACGUGCCCAGCAGUGGGGGAUAGCUCGGCGAAAGCCGGAUUAAUACCGCAUACGACCUGAGGGUGAAAGCGGGGGAUCUUCGGACCGCGCGCUAUUGGAGCGGCCGAUGGCAGAUUAGCUAGUUGGUGGGGUAAAGGCCUACCAAGGCGACGAUCUGUAGCUGGUCUGAGAGGACGACCAGCCACACUGGGACUGAGACACGGCCCAGAGUCCUACGGGAGGCAGCAGUGGGGAAUUUUGGACAAUGGGCGAAAGCCUGAUCCAGCAAUGCCGCGUGUGUGAUGAAGGCCUUCGGGUUGUAAAGCACUUUUGGCGGGAACGAAAAGGACUGUGCCAAUACCACGGUUCGAUGACGGUACCCGCAGAAUAAGCACCGGCUAACUACGUG
This 484-nucleotide ribosomal RNA is filed under the name uncultured bacterium. RNAcentral describes it as "partial 16S ribosomal RNA". It matches the Rfam family "Bacterial small subunit ribosomal RNA", at positions 29 to 507 of the family's 1533-position model. The record is from RNAcentral.